GAAUAUUUUAGUUAUUUUUAAGCUCUUUCUUCCUUGUGUAGGCAAUAUGCCACAAGGAAGGCUACCUGCUGAUAGACCCGAUGAUGCCCCUACUAGGGAAGAGUUUUUCUGAGGUAGUUAGGGUUAUUCAGGGUUUGGCUCAUGUUGUGGAUUACCAGGUGCAUCUACAAUAGAAUGUUGAUCGUCAGAUCUUGUUGAUGAUCAUAUUGCUUAAAAUAAGACUAUUGCCAGUAGUAUUUUUAAGUUCCAAAAGCUUAAUCCGCCAAAAUUUGAUGGUCGUCCUGAUCCCAUAUUGGUAAAGCAAUGGCUCAUAUAAAUAGAGAAAAUAUUUUCUAUUUUGGAUAUGAUUCAAGAACAGAAUGUUUCCCUUGUUGCUUUUUUUCUUGUUUGUGAGGCUAAACAUUAGUUGCACCUCAAGUGUGAUACCUUACCUACU
Molecule: long non-coding RNA, 436 nt
Filed under: Carica papaya (papaya)
Lineage: Eukaryota; Viridiplantae; Streptophyta; Magnoliopsida; Brassicales; Caricaceae
Description: long non-coding RNA (CPAP_LNC014710)
Source: RNAcentral